GACGAACGCUGGCGGCGUGCUUAACACAUGCAAGUCGAACGGAAAGGCCCUGCUUGCAGGGUACUCGAGUGGCGAACGGGUGAGUAACACGUGGGUGAUCUGCCCUGCACUUCGGGAUAAGCCUGGGAAACUGGGUCUAAUACCGGAUAGGAGCCAUUUUUAGUGUGAUGGUUGGAAAGUUUUUUCGGUGUAGGAUGAGCUCGCGGCCUAUCAGCUUGUUGGUGGGGUAAUGGCCUACCAAGGCGGCGACGGGUAGCCGGCCUGAGAGGGUGGACGGCCACAAUGGGACUGAGAUACGGCCCAGACUCCUACGGGAGGCAGCAGUGGGGAAUAUUGCACAAUGGGCGCAAGCCUGAUGCAGCGACGCCGCGUGGGGGAUGACGGCCUUCGGGUUGUAAACUCCUUUCGCUAGGGACGAAGCUUUUUGUGACGGUACCUAGAUAAGAAGCACCGGCUAACUACGU
RNAcentral lists this ribosomal RNA (464 nucleotides) under uncultured bacterium. RNAcentral describes it as "partial 16S ribosomal RNA". It matches the Rfam family "Bacterial small subunit ribosomal RNA", at positions 28 to 506 of the family's 1533-position model. The record is from RNAcentral.